This 28-nucleotide non-coding RNA is filed under the name Mus musculus (house mouse). The record is from RNAcentral. Lineage: Eukaryota; Metazoa; Chordata; Mammalia; Rodentia; Muridae.
UGAUAUAGGUGUUUCUCCUCAAGAGAGU